This 386-nucleotide ribosomal RNA is filed under the name uncultured bacterium. RNAcentral describes it as "bacterial SSU rRNA". It matches the Rfam family "Bacterial small subunit ribosomal RNA", at positions 30 to 416 of the family's 1533-position model. The record is from RNAcentral.
AUUGAACGCUGGCGGCAUGCCUUACACAUGCAAGUCGAACGGCAGCACGGGAGCAACCCUGGUGGCGAGUGGCGAACGGGUGAGUAAUAUAUCGGAACGUGCCCAGUCGUGGGGAUAACGUAGCGAAAGCUACGCUAAUACCGCAUACGAUCUAUGGAUGAAAGCGGGGGAUCGCAAGACCUCGCGCGAUUGGAGCGGCCGAUAUCAGAUUAGGUAGUUGGUGAGGUAAAGGCUCACCAAGCCGACGAUCUGUAGCUGGUCUGAGAGGACGACCAGCCACACUGGGACUGAGACACGGCCCAGACUCCUACGGAGGCAGCAGUGGGGAAUUUUUGGGACAAUGGGCGCAAGCCUGAUCCAGCAAUGCCGCGUGCAGGAUGAAGGCC